AAGACUGUCAGGGAUCAUUUCUGACUUGAGAACUGUGUUCCCAAACCGUUUGGGCUCACUAACCACGAUGAAGAGAUGGUGAAACUCAUGAAACUCUUUCCUGAGUGUGAAGUGGGCACACAGUCAUGAUUCAUAUGCUGUUUGCCUUUGAGGACCGUUCUUUGUCUCCUUUGGGGGCUUUGAGGGGAAGAGGAUGUGCGGAGUGGA
Molecule: small nucleolar RNA, 207 nt
Organism: Cyclopterus lumpus (lumpfish)
Lineage: Eukaryota; Metazoa; Chordata; Actinopteri; Perciformes; Cyclopteridae
Gene: U3
Rfam family: Small nucleolar RNA U3
About the family: Small nucleolar RNAs (snoRNAs) are involved in the processing and modification of rRNA in the nucleolus.
Source: Ensembl